UACGGAGGUCCCGAGCGUUGUCCGGAUUUAUUGGGCGUAAAGCGAGCGCAGGUGGUUUAUUAAGUCUGGUGUAAAAGGCAGUGGCUCAACCAUUGUAUGCAUUGGAAACUGGUAGACUUGAGUGCAGGAGAGGAGAAUGGAAUUCCUAGUGUAGCGGUGGAAUGCGUAGAGAUUAGGAAGAACACCAGUGGCGAAGGCGAUUCUCUGGACUGUAACUGACGCUGAGGCUCGAAAGCGUGGGGAGCAAACAGG
Molecule: ribosomal RNA, 252 nt
Filed under: uncultured bacterium
Lineage: Bacteria
Description: partial 16S ribosomal RNA
Rfam family: Bacterial small subunit ribosomal RNA
Source: RNAcentral